Long non-coding RNA from Dreissena polymorpha, 393 nucleotides. RefSeq lists it as uncharacterized. The record is from RefSeq and is a predicted model, not a curated record. The transcript has 3 exons. NCBI's taxonomy places the organism in Eukaryota, Metazoa, Mollusca, Bivalvia, Myida, Dreissenidae.
CAGACCGUUCCGUUGCCGUUAGCGAUAAAAUGUACUGACGGAUACGUCGCGAAUGAUAUCACGGGAACGUUUAACGUCAAUAUUGUCGACGAGCCCCCAGUGAUAACCUUACUACCCUCUACCGGAACUUCCAUCAACGAUGGUUUGCAGGCGGCCGCGGCGACCAUCCAUACGUUCAACGUCACCGACAGCGACGACGUUGUCACGUGCUCCACACGAGCGCCGGAAUCCACCUUUUUUGAAUUGGUAGCCGCAACUAGCCCUGCGUUCAGUAUCCGCGUGAAAGCAGGAGUGACGUUGGCUGCAGCUGUCAGUCCGUACGCCAUGAACGUUGAUUGCACAGAUGCCGUAACCGCCGUCAGUUCAACGUUCACCCAGCCAGUCCUUGAUAAG